Molecule: ribosomal RNA, 430 nt
Filed under: Brucella melitensis
Lineage: Bacteria; Pseudomonadati; Pseudomonadota; Alphaproteobacteria; Hyphomicrobiales; Brucellaceae
Also listed under: 1 other name
Description: partial 16S ribosomal RNA
Rfam family: Bacterial small subunit ribosomal RNA
Source: RNAcentral
UGGGGAAUAUUGGACAAUGGGCGCAAGCCUGAUCCAGCCAUGCCGCGUGUGUGAAGAAGGCCUUUUGGUUGUAAAGCACUUUAAGCGAGGAGGAGGCUACUUGGAUUAAUACUCUAGGAUAGUGGACGUUACUCGCAGAAUAAGCACCGGCUAACUCUGUGCCAGCAGCCGCGGUAAUACAGAGGGUGCGAGCGUUAAUCGGAUUUACUGGGCGUAAAGCGUGCGUAGGCGGCUUCUUAAGUCGGAUGUGAAAUCCCUGAGCUUAACUUAGGAAUUGCAUUCGAUACUGGGAAGCUAGAGUAUGGGAGAGGAUGGUAGAAUUCCAGGUGUAGCGGCGAAAUGCGUAGAGAUCUGGAGGAAUACCGAUGGCGAAGGCAGCCAUCUGGCCUAAUACUGACGCUGAGGUACGAAAGCAUGGGGAGCAAACAGG